Molecule: long non-coding RNA, 1399 nt
Filed under: Helianthus annuus (common sunflower)
Lineage: Eukaryota; Viridiplantae; Streptophyta; Magnoliopsida; Asterales; Asteraceae
Source: RNAcentral
AUGAACACUUUCUCUCUCGAUUCUCUCUGCGUAAAUCUUGAGAAUAUCAUCGGCGAUGCAGGCUUUUAUCUACUUUUCCGAUUAACAUCUGAUAACAUCAAGGAAGAAUGAUGAUGAUGGAAUUGAUGAGAAAAAUAUUAUGAAUUGUUAAAGGGUUUUCAAUAAGAAAAGAAAGUAUGCAAUGAAAACCAGUUUGCCGUAAAGGGAACUUGCUGAAGUGGUUUGGUAACAACAGAGGUGAUUUCAAUGUGCAGAUGGCAAUCGAAGUUGAGUUCAGUGGCUCUACGAUUCGGGUUAAUUGGUAACUUGUGUCUAGCAUUUUUGUUCUUCCCAGUGACUCGAGGAUCGUCUAUAUUGUUGCUGUUCGGGCUAACUUCUGAGGCCAGCAUCAAGUAUCACAUAUGGCUAGGCCAUAUUGUUAUGACCCUCUUCACUUCUCAUGGUGUUUGUUACAUUAUUUAUUGGAUAGUCACCAAGUAGACAUCAGAGGUUGUAAAUGGGCUGGUAGUUUGUAAUCAAGUCAUAAACAGGUUGUUUUUUUUUUCAAAAAGGAUGAACCAUGGCAAGCCUCUUGGUGCAGUUCCCACACGUCUGAACGACCUUGCAACUUUAGUUGUCGGGACACACGUACCAAAGUUACGCAACCUUCAUCGCCAACACUGUAUUUGAAGCCACUGAUAACAGUACCAUAGCAUCAACGACAGUGAUCUACAAAAGGUGUUGUGACCCGUUUUCAACCUGAAUUCAUAUUGGCCCUUAAUGAUCCACAGUUAGUUGUUAUCGCAUAUUUCUCGAGCUAAGCUGACCUUUAAACAUAUCGGGGUUUUCGUCAGCCAAAAAACUUUAGCAUUUAGUGGUAGCGCGUGGCUACGGUUGUGCGGUGGCUGAAUCGGGUGGUGAUCGGCGGCUGAUUCAUAGCCGUGAAUGGUGACAUAUAGCUGCCAUUCUGGUCAGUUUUGGGCUGAAGCCGUGAAUACAUUUCGCUUAAUGGGUCGUGCCUUGACCAGGUUCAUAUGCGGACACAAGUGAGAAAGAUGCAAUAUUUUUAUUAGGUGGUUCAUCGAAUCUGAUAUGUUAAGUCCAGUUUGACAAUCACAUUAGAGUUUCUUUUAUUAUAUACAAUUUUGAAUGAUAAUUAUCAAAAGUGGUGUGAUCUUAACUUUUGUUAGUUUUGAAGUAUUUGUUUAGAAAAGCAAUCUUUCAUCGUCAAGUUUAGCCAAAUGACAUUAAUAUUUAAAAGUACAUUCUCACCCUAUGAUUCUUUUUCUAAAUACUAUUGGUGUAAUUCUUUUUUAUGGCAAAUUGGCAAUAAUCUGGUGUUCUUGUGCCAUGGCUGUAUAUUGGCAUGUUUAUUAACUAAUAAAAAUAAACAACCCGGAAAGCAGUCUCGGGUAAUAAC